GACGAACGCUGGCGGCGUGCUUAACACAUGCAAGUCGAACGAAAAUACCAAGCUUGCUUGGUUGAUUAGUGGCGAACGGGUGAGUAACACGUGAGUAGCCUGCCCCUUACUUUCCUGGAUAACUGCUCGAAAGGGUAGCUAAUACGGGAUAUUCUGACCAGCCUGCAUGGGUUGGUUUGGAAAGGUUGUUUUUCUGGUAAGGGAUGGGCUCGCGGCCUAUCGGCUUGUUGGUGGGGUGAUGGCCUACCAAGGCUUUGACGGGUAGCCGGCCUGAGAGGGUGGACGGUCACACUGGGACUGAGAUACGGCCCAGACUCCUACGGGAGGCAGCAGUGGGGAAUAUUGCACAAUGGGCGCAAGCCUGAUGCAGCGACGCCGCGUGAGGGAUGAAGGCCUUCGGGGUGUAAACCUCUUUCGUCAGGGAACAAGGCACUGCUUUUUUGGUGGUGUUGAGGGUACCUGGAUAAGAAGCGCCGGCUAACUACGUG
This 488-nucleotide ribosomal RNA is filed under the name uncultured bacterium. RNAcentral describes it as "partial 16S ribosomal RNA". It matches the Rfam family "Bacterial small subunit ribosomal RNA", at positions 28 to 507 of the family's 1533-position model. The record is from RNAcentral.